This is a long non-coding RNA of Papaver somniferum (opium poppy), 2571 nucleotides long. RefSeq lists it as uncharacterized. NCBI's taxonomy places the organism in Eukaryota, Viridiplantae, Streptophyta, Magnoliopsida, Ranunculales, Papaveraceae. The record is from RefSeq and is a predicted model, not a curated record. The transcript is spliced from 2 exons.
UUCAAAGCAAAAGAAAUCUGCAUUUAUUAUCAAACAGAGGUCUUGGCUUAGCAACAGUUUUAUAGAAUGGGAAUGGAUGAUACUGUGAUCGAAUUUCUGAGAGUUGUUUCAUGCGAAUCUGCACUACUCUUGGCAUCUCGAUAUGACAACAACAAGGAAGCGGAGAUGGCCAGUUGCUGGUGGUGUUUGGUGGUCUGAAAUGUGGGACUGAUCUGAAAUUUGAGAUGGAAAUGAAGAAGGAAUUAGGGGGUCUUGUAUGCAAUCCAAGUCUGGAUCAAAAUGGUAUCUCGUGGUAUUCAAUUGAGAAGAAAUUGGCUCGAUCUGAGAUGUGAAUUAGGUCUGAAUUUUGGGGGUUUCGAAAUUAAAUGAAGAAGCACCAGUCUGUUGUGGUUUUUGAGCUCGAGUUAAGGUUGGAAUUCCGUAGAGAAAACAGGGAGACUGAAACAGAUUUGGGGUUUGUUACCCCAACUGAGUUUGGGGGAUUAAAUGGUGGCGGUACAGGUCGUGAGAGUGAAUGAAGAUGGGUUUGCUGCUGAUGAGAUGUUCAUGACUGCAACAUUUUUGUAUCUCAACUGAUGGUUAAUUGAGAGCUGUAAGAAGAUAAUUGAGACGUCAGUCGACAUCAAUUCCUGAAGAAUGCCAUGAAAUCAGAGCCGGGGUCAAUUGGUGGCGGUUAAAGCAACAUCAAGAUAUAAAUGUACCAAUUACAAUAUUUCAAGGUGUCUGAUAUUCAGUAUCAAAAGAGUUAGCAGUGGAGUCUUAAUGGAUGUUCGAACCGAGGACGAGAUUGCAGUCAGUUGUGAUGUUUCUGUUAGUCGUGUGUAUAUGGAGGAAGCAUGAAAUUUCAGUUGCGAUGUGGGUGCUAUAAAGAAGUGGAGUUUGCUGUAUGGAGUGUGUCUGAAAUUGGGUCGAAUUGAUUUCAGUUCCCUGAGCUUUGAAUUCUUGAACUGAUGAUGAAUAAUGGUGAGUGUAUGCCGAUCUGCAGACAUGAAUGGGAUGGAUAAUGAACUGGCAGUAUUGUGGUUGCGUCGUUGUAUGAGAAGGGACAUUGGUCCGGCAGCCUGGAUGUGGAGAUUGUUGGCUGGACUGGGCUCAGGCCUAGGAGUUGGCUAGUGAAGUUGGAGCUGAUAAUGGACUGGGCUUUUCAGGUGCUGGUAUCUGUCACAAGGGAAUUCAGAUGCAUAUAAAUACUGAGGAGAUGAACUAAAAAGAGGAGGCCGUAUACAGGGAAGAAAAAUGUGAAAACUACUGUCAAACCCGUUUUUCCGUUUUUUUCCACUCUCAAACCCACAGGCGUACAAAGUCAUGCGUGCACCCAGUUUGACAGACAAAAUUUCUCUCGGGCCCAUAAUUUCUCAAAUUCCAUUUUCGCUUUGUAUUUAUUCCCAAACUAACCUCUAGAGAGGCGAGACAGAAGGUGAUGAUUUUAUCAACAAAGAGUCGAUGAAGGUCGUCAUCAACAGUGGUUUAUGGUGAUUCAAUCAACAAAGAUGACCUCGCAGAUAAAGUGAAAAGAAAAGCCAAUUCUUUGACGGAAUCUGUAUCAUCAAAACUAAGGUGCGUCCACUGCUAACAAUUUGAACACUGCUAAGUAAAGUACACCACUUUUAAUCUUGUAAAUGUGAGAUUUUUUAAUGUCAUUAUAUAUGCUAACCAUUUACACAUUGUUAAGGACACUACUUAAAUUUUUCUGCAUACUCCGUAAGAAAUCAUAUCGUGUUUUCCUUAUCCUAUAGAAAGUGGGGUGGUAAUUGGUGAUCAAAUGUUACCAUCUAAUCAGAUUUAUAGAAUUAAAUGUGUUUUCUUUCUUCUUUCAAAAUUUUGGAGUAAAUUAAAAAAGAAAAAAAACAUUAUGAGCUACUGUCAAAAUUCAUAUUAAGUUUUUAAGUUCUAAACUUCUAAUUGUACAGAUCCUAUGCAAAUGGUUAAAGCGACCGUUCAAUUUUAGUAAGUGUAUGCUGAAAUGUUAUGUCGAUUAAGCGCUGAGAAAUUAUUCAUGUGGAUAGUAUGCAUAGAUUAUUCAUUUGGGAGUGCAACACUAUUAUUACACAAAGGGACUGUGUACAAACAUUUUUGUAAUUUUAUAUGUCCUAUACGUUUGGAUAUGCAGUCACCGGUGUGAAAGUAAAAUGGAACAAUUAGCGUAACAAUGUGGAUGGAAGAGGAUUCACUAAAUAUGUGAAGGGUGGUGAAACCCCCAGUAGUCAUCCCAAUCAGGGGUUCGGAUCGUUUAAUGGAAAAAUGUUAGAAUUCGGUCUUUAUUUCACUUUCAGUGGGAGAACUUUUGAACUCUAUUCAAGUUGUGGUCGUCUUGUGGUCUCCUCACUGUACUAAUAUGAUCUUCUUGUGGUCUAUUUUUUUCAUUUGGUUUCUCUUGAGUUUUUUCUAGGAACAACAAAUAAAUCAUUCAUUGUUUUCUCUUGAGUUUUUUCUUGCAGAUUGUGAUGGUGGCUGGUACGUAGUGCCACUCUAGUUGAUGAUGAACAACUAAUUGUAUUUUGUUGUAAUCGUAAGACUUAUUAUUUUAUUGUAGUUGAAGGCUUUUUGUAAGUUCACUUUUAUGGUUUUUUA